UACGGAGGGUGCAAGCGUUAUCCGGAUUCACUGGGUUUAAAGGGUGCGUAGGCGGGCAGGUAAGUCAGUGGUGAAAUCUCCGAGCUUAACUCGGAAACUGCCGUUGAUACUAUUUGUCUUGAAUACUGUGGAGGUAAGCGGAAUAUGUCAUGUAGCGGUGAAAUGCUUAGAUAUGACACAGAACACCGAUUGCGAAGGCAGCUCACUAAACUAUUAUUGACGCUGAGGGACGAAAGUGUGGGGAGCGAACAGG
RNAcentral lists this ribosomal RNA (253 nucleotides) under uncultured bacterium. Its description in RNAcentral is "partial 16S ribosomal RNA". It matches the Rfam family "Bacterial small subunit ribosomal RNA", at positions 524 to 776 of the family's 1533-position model. The record is from RNAcentral.